UCAUCACCACUACAACAUGUCAGGAAUUGUGGGAAAUAGUGAGACAAGAAACACCACACUCUCUUUGAGAGUCUUGGCAUUUAUGCCUCUCAUCCAUCUCUACAGUUAGAAGCUAAGGCCCCAUCGUCCCACCAACCCAGUUCAAGAAGGCACUUUCUGUGGAGAAGGAGGCUACUUAUUUGCAUUUGGAGCAUCAGCUGGAUGGAUGCAGCUGUAUACUUUAAUCUUGGGUGGAAGAAAUUAAGGAGGUGUGAAAUCAAGAAGGGAUCAUGACAGAAACCAACAGGUGGAACAAUGGCAGGAAGGCUCUUCUUCUCUGUCCCUGUUGCUGGGCAUAGAUUGUAGUGGAGGAUUUUGUAAGGGGCAAUGUUUUGAGAUCUCCACGAUGAGCUGGCCAAGAGGAAGCCAGAGUUGAGCUCAGAUAUCAGCACUGAACAUAUCAUCACACAACCUGCUAUGGAGGACUAU
This 468-nucleotide long non-coding RNA is filed under the name Pogona vitticeps (central bearded dragon). RNAcentral's name for it is "lncRNA (ENSPVIG00000025041.1)". The record is from RNAcentral. Lineage: Eukaryota; Metazoa; Chordata; Lepidosauria; Squamata; Agamidae.